This 3685-nucleotide long non-coding RNA is filed under the name Sus scrofa (pig). RNAcentral describes it as "lncRNA (ENSSSCG00055001111.1)". The record is from RNAcentral. Lineage: Eukaryota; Metazoa; Chordata; Mammalia; Artiodactyla; Suidae.
CAAUAAUGCAAGUGGACGAAUAGGAAAGCACACAGAAAUAUAUCUGUAUUAUGCUAUUAAUGUGCUUUUAAGCAACAAAUAUGAGUCAGAAAAUCAGCGGUGAAGUAGGGAAAUAAACUGGAUUUUAAAUCAUCCAAUGCUCUUGUAUGAAUCACAAACACUAUAUAAAAAUCUGUUAUAAUCCUUUUUAAUGUAAUUACAGCAAAAAAAGAUAUAUUUCAAGAGAUUAUUCUCAAUUUUACAGCUUUCACAGGUUUGACCGAGAUGAACAAAAGUAGGCUUUCCCCUGCAGUAUUAACAACUAAGAAAAUAAAAUGAAUAAGCAAACAGGAAGUUUACACAGAUAAACAAAAAAAGCUAGUUCCAACACCUGACUAAAAUUACUAUAUAAUCGGAAAAGGAAAAACACACCUACAAACUCAAUUGUGAGGAAAAUUAUGUAUUAAAAUAGUACAUUCAAAACAAGUGUAUCAUUUAAGUCAAACUUCAGCACAGUAAAAAGCAAUACGUGAAAACAACAGCUUGUAUUAAUAAAAUCUAAAUGUGGGAAAAAAAACUCUCCUAGAACAUUGGCAUUAUUUUUAUAAUCUGUAUGGCUGAGGAAAAUGUUAUCAAUAAUAGAUUUAACAGUUGUAGCCAGCCAUAUAAACUGGCAGUGGAUUUUUAAAAAAUGAUCUAAAAUUGCAGUCUCAAUAUCACAUAAAACCCUCAUUUCCACGUGUAAAAUUAAAAGAAAAGGCUAAACCUUGAACCGCUUGGUUCAACCAAUACCUGGAGGACAUAAAAUCACAUUGAUAUAUAUGUACACACACACACACACACACCUCAAAGAAAAACAAAUAUUCAGUGAGAGAAGGUAGACAAAUUAUACAGUAGUCUUGAGGUGGAGCGAGAAAAGUCUCAUCGUUUUCACAUUUGGGUUGCAUUCAAAACCCCCACAUACACAAUAAAUUCAGACUCAUUUACUCAGAUAUCGCAGUUAUAUUUAUGGAUGAGGGUGAAAAGUCAAUAAUGAUACUUAUCACCUCGGUGCUAUGCUUACAAGCUAUUUCUACAGCCUAGUGGACAGAUACAUGUCUACUUGUAAUGCAAAUUUUAAGUACUUUAUAAACUAAUACAUAUUUUUCCAAAUAGAAAGCUUAUAGUUAUAUUAUUUUUGCUUAACUAAAUUAUGUAUCUGUGUAAGAUAUUUAGUAUAGAUCCAGAUUAAUGAAAAAGCCCUUAUUUUUUAAAAUACAUACAUAUAUAUUUGAAAUAAUAUAUAAUGAAAGCCAGUAAUUAGACAACACAAGUGAUAAAUGACUCAAGUGCUUCAAUUUAGAAGCUAAAAUAAAUUUAAAAACAAAAUGACUGGAUUUAGGAAAGCCAUAACUUAUGGAAUUUAUAAGGACUCUUAUAAUAGUAUCCUUUUUACAUAACUUAGUAAUUACUAGUACUCCUCAUAUAAUACUGAAUUUUAAAAAGUAAAUAAUUUGUGACAAAAGAAAAUAAUGGCAUUACUACACAUUGCUCAAAAAGGAAAAGUGAAAAUACCACUUUUCAAUCAUUUUAAAAAGAUGUUCUUUAAAAAAAAAAUAAUGACACUAGAUGACUAAGCACAUGAAAUAAGAAAAAUGUACAGGGCAACUCAUUUAUAGUAAUUCAACCUUCAUCUUCUGAUUUAGUUACUGUGAAAAAUCUAUUAUAAGUUCAAUUUGGUAGUGAACUGUAGCCAUCUACUGGAAAUGAACAGUUAGAGCAAAUGUUUAAUAUCAUGUUUCUCUCUAAGAAACCAGUAUUCUUUGUGCUUAAUUUAGUGGACUAGAGAAAUGAACAAUCCUAGGUGUAGUAAGAUAAAAUUUAAUUUAUUAUAUCAGCCUCACAAUCUCAAAUCUGUAAAGAUAUAUGAGUUAGUGGUUUAAUAUGUUAUUUUUAAUACAACUCUAUGUAUAAAUAGCUUUCUAUCACUAAGAGAUUUUCUUGGUCUAUUAACCUACUUUUCCCAAGCCUCACAUUCUUAGAUCAUGUAGCCAUGCAAAUUCCAAAAUUGUUACUAAAAGUUUUAAGUGAAUUUACCCUAUAAGUGCCUUUAGUUACCAAAUUAUAAGCUAGAUAUAUAAUCACAGUUUUAGUACUAUAUUUUACUCAGUUUAGCAUUGAAACAAUUUUCAUAGAAAUAAAAACAGAAGCUAAGAAAAAAGGGGCCAAACCAUGGCCUUUAUGUUUCCCUUAGAGAACAUUUAAAACCCUAAUUGCUCUGUGCGUACAUGUAUAACUGAAUCACUUUGUUGUACAGCAGAAAUUAUCACAACAUUGUAAAUCAACAAAACUUCAAUAAAACUUAAAAAAAAGUAGCACACAAGAAAAAAAUUAAAACAUAACAAUAGAAAAUAAAAAUAAAAUCAUAAUUGUUUAAACACAGAGCUGCUACCUUACUCAUUUAUGGUCAGGUUGCAGAAACAACUUAGGAAUACUAACUGCACCUGUUGGUAAAUAAUAAUGCUGUUCCUGAGGAACAAGAAAUAAAACUGCAACUUGUAUUUUAUACUUCCUCAAAAUCCUUUCAAUAUCAAUGAUACGAUGGUUUGUCUACUACCAAGUUUUUUCAAAUAUAAAUGCUCAUUGUCAGAAUUAGUCAUUGAAUUUUCCAGACCCAGCAAUCACUGCUAUGCAGUGACUUAAUUUUAGUUAUUGCUAAUGAUACUUAAAAGUCAGUAACUGAGCACCGGUUAAAAUUAUUUCAACAGAUAUGGAUUUCAUAAAACAAAAAGAAAGUAAUGAACAAGGUACUAAUAUGUCCAUGAUAAAACAUAAACCAACAAUGUAAAUGAGAAAUUUUUCAAAAAAAAGGAAAGAAGCUAAAAUAGUUGUUUUAAUUUUUUCCAAAUAGCAUAUGCCAUUUAAGUAAGUUCCCAUAUGGAAGUUCUUGUGUACAUCAUCAUAUUAGUUUGAUAAUAUCCUGAUACUUGAAUUAACUAAUGUAUGAAUUAUAUAAGAAUUAGCUUUUUAUCAACUUGCUAGUUUGCAAUAUCACUAUUUUGUAAAAGAUGUUACUGAAAUUGAAAUGAAGAGCUAUGAAUCAAUAUGUGAAGGUGAAGUCAUUAAUUUCUAAAAUCCACUAUCCAUACACUAACGUUUUGAGGACAAAACAGAUUCAAUUUUUAUGGCUGGUAAUAUUUCACAGCAGUUCAGCAAAUACACUAAUAAGAUACUUAGAUGGGCAAAGAUUCUCUUAGUCUUGUAAACCAGGUAUAAAAAAGGCCUAGUGUUUUCCAGAUGUUCAAACAUAAACUCAUAUUACUAACUCCAGUUGGCAAGUGGUAGAUUUAAGAACUACAGUAUUCUUCUGUUAUUCACGAUAUAGAAAACUGAGAUUAUGCCUUUUAAAUAAACUUUCAAAGUGAUUCAAUCUGAAAUCCUUCAUCACUAAAACAGUAUAAUCUAUAAUAGUCAAACCGAGAAAAUUUCAAAGAAAAUUCUCAAAAUUUCAAAGCAACCAGCUAAUUUCAAAAAUCAUAUACAUCCAGGAGAAUCGCAAUGAUACCCAUUUCCUUACUGCAGCCAAAUAUGAUUAUAGUGAUAGACUUAAUUUGGUCCAAUAAAAUGUCAAAGUACAUAAACCAAGCUCAAUGAACUCUACAAAACCUAAACUCAGACCAUAAGGCAUGGAUUCAAACAUGAAUUAUUUAAUAAAUUUCAAAUCUAG